This 1444-nucleotide ribosomal RNA is filed under the name uncultured organism. RNAcentral describes it as "SSU rRNA". It matches the Rfam family "Bacterial small subunit ribosomal RNA". The record is from RNAcentral.
CUCAUGAUGAACGCUAGCUACAGGCUUAACACAUGCAAGUCGAGGGGCAGCAUGGUCUUAGCUUGCUAAGGCCGAUGGCGACCGGCGCACGGGUGAGUAACACGUAUCCAACCUGCCGUCUACUCUUGGACAGCCUUCUGAAAGGAAGAUUAAUACAAGAUGGCAUCAUGAGUCCGCAUGUUCACAUGAUUAAAGGUAUUCCGGUAGACGAUGGGGAUGCGUUCCAUUAGAUAGUAGGCGGGGUAACGGCCCACCUAGUCUUCGAUGGAUAGGGGUUCUGAGAGGAAGGUCCCCCACAUUGGAACUGAGACACGGUCCAAACUCCUACGGGAGGCAGCAGUGAGGAAUAUUGGUCAAUGGGCGAGAGCCUGAACCAGCCAAGUAGCGUGAAGGAUGACUGCCCUAUGGGUUGUAAACUUCUUUUAUAAAGGAAUAAAGUCGGGUAUGGAUACCCGUUUGCAUGUACUUUAUGAAUAAGGAUCGGCUAACUCCGUGCCAGCAGCCGCGGUAAUACGGAGGAUCCGAGCGUUAUCCGGAUUUAUUGGGUUUAAAGGGAGCGUAGAUGGAUGUUUAAGUCAGUUGUGAAAGUUUGCGGCUCAACCGUAAAAUUGCAGUUGAUACUGGAUAUCUUGAGUGCAGUUGAGGCAGGCGGAAUUCGUGGUGUAGCGGUGAAAUGCUUAGAUAUCACGAAGAACUCCGAUUGCGAAGGCAGCCUGCUAAGCUGCAACUGACAUUGAGGCUCGAAAGUGUGGGUAUCAAACAGGAUUAGAUACCCUGGUAGUCCACACGGUAAACGAUGAAUACUCGCUGUUUGCGAUAUACUGCAAGCGGCCAAGCGAAAGCGUUAAGUAUUCCACCUGGGGAGUACGCCGGCAACGGUGAAACUCAAAGGAAUUGACGGGGGCCCGCACAAGCGGAGGAACAUGUGGUUUAAUUCGAUGAUACGCGAGGAACCUUACCCGGGCUUAAAUUGCAGAUGAAUUACGGUGAAAGCCGUAAGCCGCAAGGCAUCUGUGAAGGUGCUGCAUGGUUGUCGUCAGCUCGUGCCGUGAGGUGUCGGCUUAAGUGUCAUAACGAGCGCAACCCUUGUUGUCAGUUACUAACAGGUUCCGCUGAGGACUCUGACAAGACUGCCAUCGUAAGAUGUGAGGAAGGUGGGGAUGACGUCAAAUCAGCACGGCCCUUACGUCCGGGGCUACACACGUGUUACAAUGGGGGGUACAGAGGGCCGCUACCACGCGAGUGGAUGCCAAUCCCCAAAACCUCUCUCAGUUCGGACUGGAGUCUGCAACCCGACUCCACGAAGCUGGAUUCGCUAGUAAUCGCGCAUCAGCCACGGCGCGGUGAAUACGUUCCCGGGCCUUGUACACACCGCCCGUCAAGCCAUGGGAGCCGGGGGUACCUGAAGUGCGUAACCGCGAGGAGCGCCCUAGGGUAAAACUGG